UGGGGAAUAUUGCACAAUGGGCGCAAGCCUGAUGCAGCCAUGCCGCGUGUGUGAAGAAGGCCUCGGUUGUAAAGCACUUUCAGCGAGGAGGAAGGUGGUGAGCUUAAUACGCUCAUCAAUUGACGUUACUCGCAGAAGAAGCACCGGCUAACUCCGUGCCAGCAGCCGCGGUAAUACGGAGGGUGCAAGCGUUAAUCGGAAUUACUGGGCGUAAAGCGCACGCAGGCGGUUUGUUAAGUCAGAUGUGAAAUCCCCGGGCUCAACCUGGGAACUGCAUUUGAAACUGGCAAGCUAGAGUCUCGUAGAGGGGGGUAGAAUUCCAGGUGUAGCGGUGAAAUGCGUAGAGAUCUGGAGGAAUACCGGUGGCGAAAGGCGGCCCCCUGGACGAAGACUGACGCUCAGGUGCGAAAAGCGUGGGGAGCAAAACAGGAUUAGAUACCCUGGUAGUCCACGCUGUAAAACGAUGUCGAUUUUGGAGGUUGUGCCCUUGAGGCGUGGCUUCCGGAGCUAACGCGUUAAAUCGACCGCCUGGGGAGUACGGCCGCAAGGUUAAAACUU
Molecule: ribosomal RNA, 558 nt
Filed under: uncultured bacterium
Lineage: Bacteria
Description: partial 16S ribosomal RNA
Rfam family: Bacterial small subunit ribosomal RNA
Source: RNAcentral